GAACCAUUCAUGGGAACCUGGUAAUUAGCUAGCAACUGAAGAAAGCACACCUGAAUGCAAAAGCACGAACAAGAAAGAACAAGGGUGAUCAAUGAUGCCCUAGCUUCGAAAGGAAGAGAGGAAGAAGGAGAAGAUGUUCUUAGUUGAAAGAGCUUUAUUGAAUUCAGUAAUAUGAAUCAACUUAUAAUCCUUGACCUAGUUACAUAUAUA
RNAcentral lists this long non-coding RNA (210 nucleotides) under Elaeis guineensis (African oil palm). RNAcentral's name for it is "long non-coding RNA (EGUI_LNC065126)". Lineage: Eukaryota; Viridiplantae; Streptophyta; Magnoliopsida; Arecales; Arecaceae. The record is from RNAcentral.